AGGGUUCGAUUCUGGCUCAGGAUGAACGCUGGCGGCGUGCUUAACACAUGCAAGUCGAACGAAGCAUCUGGAAGUUUCGGACAGAAAGAUGACUGAGUGGCGGACGGGUGAGUAACGCGUGGGUAACCUGCCUUAGUACAGGGGGAUAACAGUUGGAAACGACUGCUAAUACCGCAUAAGCCGGCAGGGCCGCAUGGCCUGGUUGGAAAAGAUUUAUCGGUAUAAGAUGGACCCGCGUCUGAUUAGCUAGUUGGUGAGGUAAUGGCUCACCAAGGCGACGAUCAGUAGCCGGCUUGAGAGAGUGAACGGCCACAUUGGGACUGAGACACGGCCCAAACUCCUACGGGAGGCAGCAGUGGGGAAUAUUGCACAAUGGGGGAAACCCUGAUGCAGCAACGCCGCGUGAAGGAAGAAGUAUUUCGGUAUGUAAACUUCUAUCAGCAGGAAAGAAAAUGACGGUACCAGACUAAGAAGCCCCGGCUAACUACGUGCCAGCAGCGGC
This 502-nucleotide ribosomal RNA is filed under the name uncultured bacterium. Its description in RNAcentral is "bacterial SSU rRNA". It matches the Rfam family "Bacterial small subunit ribosomal RNA", at positions 8 to 518 of the family's 1533-position model. The record is from RNAcentral.